AAGCCAGUCACAAAAGGACAAAUCUUGUAUUUCAUUUAAGUGAGGUAUAUAGAAUAGUCUGGACUUUAGAGAGAAAAAGUAGAAUAGUGGUUGCCAGCAGCUGAGGAGACGGGAGAAUGGGAAGUUAGUAGAGUUAAUGGGUACAGAUUUUUACCCACUAAGAUAGGAAGACUUUUGGAGGGAUGGUGGUAGUGGUUGCACAACAAUGGGAAUGCACUUAAUCCCACUGAAUUGUGCACUUAAAAAUGGUUAAGAUGACAGAUUACAUUACAUAUAUUUAACCACAAUUUUAAAAAAAUUCUCUAGAUGUGGAAACAAUGGUCUCAGUCAUUCCUGGUGAUCCUUCAUUCUUCUUUAUCAUAAUAUUUUAUUCAUGGGUACCUUUACAAAUAUUUACUGAAUAUCUACCAUGCCCAAGGCAUAAUUCUAAAUGCUGGAAAUAUAAUCAUGACUCAUGCAGACAAGGUCCCUGCUCUCAGAGAGUCAAAAUUCUACUGUCUAUGAUACUGUAUUUAUAAGACUUAGUGUUGUAACAUGAAACAGAAAACUCAAUUUCACAGUGGCUUUAAUACUCAAGAUGUUAUUCUCUCAUAUAAAAUGUCUAUUUGGCAGGGACUAGGUUCCUUCAACCUUUCUUCUUUAUCAACACAGGGUAUGACCACAUAGGCAUGGUCCAAGGUGGCUGCUAGAUAGCUGGUCAUCGCAUCUGCAUUUCUACCACCAAGAAGGAGAAAAUACAACCCAAAGGGCAUAACCCUUACAUUAGAGAUAUUCUCUGAAAUGACAUCUAAUUGACAAUAAUUUAGUCAUGUGGCCAUGCCUCACUGCAAGGAAAACAAGAAAAUUCAAUCUUUAUUUUGGGCAGCAAUUUGCCUAGCUAAAUUUCAAGGUUCUCUUACUAAAAAAGAGGAGAAUGGAUACUGGAGAGCUAUCAUACUUGCUCAUAAUUUUUUUCCCAGCAGAUCUUGAAUCCUUUGAAGGGAGAGGUGUCUCUAAGGAUAGAAUUAAUAAGAAGAGACCAAGAGGCAAGAUACAUUGCUGAUUUAUCAAGAAUGCAAGAAAGAUCCUCAGGAGGCAAAAUAAAGAGCAACAAGGAUUGGAUCAUGAAUCCAGAGAGAUAUAAGGGAUCCGAAGCCUACUUCUUUCUUGAGUACCCAUUAAUCUUUGGUGACAUGGAGAUUUAGUUCUAAAAAGCAGUGAACAUGGUAGACAAGAAAUAAUGCAGGCCCAAGGAAGGCAAGAUAUCAUAUUGGACUUUACACAUAGCAGAAAUUUCAAAAACGCAAUAUUCUCUGUGAGUAAACUAGAAAAUUAUCUACCCCACAGAGGAAAACAUUGAGGAAAAUUGUCUGUCUCAGUCUUGGACAUAAAUGGAGGCAAAAAUGAAGUCAUUCUUGAUAAUAAAGACUAUACAGCCAUCCUUGAAGGGGUUAAGUGACAGAAUUUAUAGAA
Molecule: long non-coding RNA, 1452 nt
Organism: Manis pentadactyla (Chinese pangolin)
Lineage: Eukaryota; Metazoa; Chordata; Mammalia; Pholidota; Manidae
Exons: 2
Source: RefSeq, a predicted model, not a curated record